This 446-nucleotide ribosomal RNA is filed under the name uncultured bacterium. RNAcentral describes it as "bacterial SSU rRNA". It matches the Rfam family "Bacterial small subunit ribosomal RNA", at positions 329 to 792 of the family's 1533-position model. The record is from RNAcentral.
GUCCAGACUCCUACGGGAGGCAGCAGUGGGGAAUAUUGCACAAUGGGGGAAACCCUGAUGCAGCGACGCCGCGUGAGCGAUGAAGUAUUUCGGUAUGUAAAGCUCUAUCAGCAGGGAAGAAGAUGACGGUACCUGACUAAGAAGCCCCGGCUAACUACGUGCCAGCAGCCGCGGUAAUACGUAGGGGGCAAGCGUUAUCCGGAUUUACUGGGUGUAAAGGGAGCGUAGACGGCGAUGCAAGCCAGAUGUGAAAGCCCGAGGCUCAACCCCGGGACUGCAUUUGGAACUGUGUGGCUGGAGUGUCGGAGAGGCAGGCGGAAUUCCUAGUGUAGCGGUGAAAUGCGUAGAUAUUAGGAGGAACACCAGUGGCGAAGGCGGCCUGCUGGACGAUGACUGACGUUGAGGCUCGAAAGCGUGGGGAGCAAACAGGAUUAGAUACCCCUGUA